AAACUGCCUUCUGGUCCCGAGAGGCUGCUGUGUUUGGGGUCAGUCACCUGCCCCAAGCAGCCUGUUCAGGUAUAGCAGGCUCCUGUCAAACAGUGAGGCCAGAGGGUGCAGGGAAUUGGGACAUUCUGCUCUGGUGGCUCUGGGUGCCAGUGGCCAUGUGGCUUUGCUCAUGCUCGCUCUAAGACCAAGUGGAAGCUCAUUCCCUGCUCUUCCUGGGCCGUGGAGGCCCCUUGGGGGUGCAACCCGCUGCAGCUCAAUCCGCUUCCUGCAGCCGAGGCCUGUAGGAAGCAGGGGUGGUGCUGGAGCUGCACCGGGCAGC
This 319-nucleotide long non-coding RNA is filed under the name Androctonus crassicauda. The record is from RNAcentral. Lineage: Eukaryota; Metazoa; Arthropoda; Arachnida; Scorpiones; Buthidae.